RNAcentral lists this long non-coding RNA (222 nucleotides) under Lathyrus oleraceus (garden pea). Its description in RNAcentral is "Pisum sativum (pea) long non-coding RNA (PSAT_LNC017787)". Lineage: Eukaryota; Viridiplantae; Streptophyta; Magnoliopsida; Fabales; Fabaceae. The record is from RNAcentral.
UUUUUUUUUUUUUUUUUUUUUGAUUUGAUUGCAUUUGCAAUGCCCCAGUUUGACUGGUUUGCUGAUUCUCAUGAUACGGCUGAAUGAGCCUCUUUGGUGCUCAAGAAGUUGGGUAAUCUCAUCAGGAAUCCCCUUCAACAUCAUCUUCCUCGGCUUCGAAUACAAAGAAUUCAAGAUUGGGAGAUGGCGUUGGAUCAUUAUGUUCAAUGGGUUUAGAAAUCC